GACUGUUUAGCAAAAACACAGGGCUCUGCUAAGUCGGCUUCAAGACGACGUAUAGGGUCUGACGCCUGCCCGGUGCCUGAAGGUUAAGUGGAGGGGUGCAAGCUCCGAAAUGAAGCCCAGGUAAACGGCGGCCGUAACUAUAACGGUCCUAAGGUAGCGAAAUUCCUUGUCGGGUAAGUUCCGACCUGCACGAAUGGCGUAACGACUUCCCCACUGUCUCCAGGACAUGCUCAGCGAAAUUGAAUUCUCCGUGAAGAUGCGGAGUACCCGCGGUUAGACGGAAAGAC
Molecule: ribosomal RNA, 287 nt
Filed under: Klebsiella michiganensis
Lineage: Bacteria; Pseudomonadati; Pseudomonadota; Gammaproteobacteria; Enterobacterales; Enterobacteriaceae
Description: partial 23S ribosomal RNA
Rfam family: Bacterial large subunit ribosomal RNA
Source: RNAcentral